Molecule: ribosomal RNA, 301 nt
Filed under: uncultured bacterium
Lineage: Bacteria
Description: partial 16S ribosomal RNA
Rfam family: Bacterial small subunit ribosomal RNA
Source: RNAcentral
CAGUAGCCGCGGUAAUACAGAGGGUGCGAGCGUUAAUCGGAUUUACUGGGCGUAAAGCGUGCGUAGGCGGCUAAUUGAGUCGGAUGUGAAAUCCCCGAGCUUAACUUGGGAAUUGCAUUCGAUACUGGUUAGCUAGAGUGUGGGAGAGGAUGGUAGAAUUCCAGGUGUAGCGGUGAAAUGCGUAGAGAUCUGGAGGAAUACCGAUGGCGAAGGCAGCCAUCUGGCCUAACACUGACGCUGAGGUACGAAAGCAUGGGGAGCAAACAGGAUUAGAUACCCCGGUAGUCCCUGUCUCUUAUAA